Hibiscus syriacus is the source of this 519-nucleotide long non-coding RNA. RefSeq lists it as uncharacterized. Lineage: Eukaryota; Viridiplantae; Streptophyta; Magnoliopsida; Malvales; Malvaceae. The transcript is spliced from 3 exons. The record is from RefSeq and is a predicted model, not a curated record.
CUGCUCAAGACAUCGAGACACGUCGAGGAACGAAUGUAAUAUGUAUUGUCUCGAUUGCAUGAAACAUGCAUUUUGCUUCUACUGCCGAUCCUCCGCACACAAAGAUCAUCUCGUGAUUCAGAUCAGACGGUCGUCAUACCACGAUGUUGUAAGGGUUAGUGAAGUUGAAAAAGUAUUGGAUAUAAGUGGAGUCCAAACUUAGGUGAUAAACAGCGCAAGAGUUGUUUUCUUAAACGAGAGACCACUUCACCCUAAAACCGCCACCACUAGCGGCGGCGGCGGCAGCAAAGGGGUGUCUCAUCUAUGUGAAACCUGUGGCAGAAGCCUUCUGGAUCCCUUUCGUUUCUGCAUUUUGGGAUGCAAGCUUGUAGGAAUAAGGCAAAAGGGAGACACGAGCUUAGUUUUAAGCAUCAAGAAUAACGAGGAAGAAUUACGUGAAGGAGGAGAUGAAGAAACUUAUAAUAAUAUAUGUAAAGCUCAUUCUAAUUCAACGAGAAGAAAAGGUAUCCCUCAUAGGGC